UAAGUACCCCGAGGAAAAGAAAUCAACCGAGAUUCCCCCAGUAGCGGCGAGCGAACGGGGAGGAGCCCAGAGCCUGAAUCAGUGUGUGUGUUAGUGGAAGCGUCUGGAAAGGCGCGCGAUACAGGGUGACAGCCCCGUACACAAAAAUGCACAUAUUGUGAGCUCGAUGAGUAGGGCGGGACACGUGGUAUCCUGUCUGAAUAUGGGGGGACCAUCCUCCAAGGCUAAAUACUCCUGACUGACCGAUAGUGAACCAGUACCGUGAGGGAAAGGCGAAAAGAACCCCGGCGAGGGGAGUGAAAAAGAACCUGAAACCGUGUACGUACAAGCAGUGGGAGCCUCUUAAUGGGGUGACUGCGUACCUUUUGUAUAAUGGGUCAGCGACUUAUAUUCUGUAGCAAGGUUAACCGAAUAGGGGAGCCGAAGGGAAACCGAGUCUUAACUGGGCGUUAAGUUGCAGGGUAUAGACCCGAAACCCGGUGAUCUAGCCAUGGGCAGGUUGAAGGUUGGGUAACACUAACUGGAGGACCGAACCGACUAAUGUUGAAAAAUUAGCGGAUGACUUGUGGCUGGGGGUGAAAGGCCAAUCAAACCGGGAGAUAGCUGGUUCUCCCCGAAAGCUAUUUAGGUAGCGCCUCGUGAAUUCAUCUCCGGGGGUAGAGCACUGUUUCGGCAAGGGGGUCAUCCCGACUUACCAACCCGAUGCAAACUGCGAAUACCGGAGAAUGUUAUCACGGGAGACACACGGCGGGUGCUAACGUCCGUCGUGAAGAGGGAAACAACCCAGACCGCCAGCUAAGGUCCCAAAGUCAUGGUUAAGUGGGAAACGAUGUGGGAAGGCCCAGACAGCCAGGAUGUUGGCUUAGAAGCAGCCAUCAUUUAAAGAAAGCGUAAUAGCUCACUGGUCGAGUCGGCCUGCGCGGAAGAUGUAACGGGGCUAAACCAUGCACCGAAGCUGCGGCAGCGACACUAUGUGUUGUUGGGUAGGGGAGCGUUCUGUAAGCCUGUGAAGGUGGCCUGUGAGGGUUGCUGGAGGUAUCAGAAGUGCGAAUGCUGACAUAAGUAACGAUAAAGCGGGUGAAAAGCCCGCUCGCCGGAAGACCAAGGGUUCCUGUCCAACGUUAAUCGGGGCAGGGUGAGUCGACCCCUAAGGCGAGGCCGAAAGGCGUAGUCGAUGGGAAACAGGUUAAUAUUCCUGUACUUGGUGUUACUGCGAAGGGGGGACGGAGAAGGCUAUGUUGGCCGGGCGACGGUUGUCCCGGUUUAAGCGUGUAGGCUGGUUUUCCAGGCAAAUCCGGAAAACCAAGGCUGAGGCGUGAUGACGAGGCACUACGGUGCUGAAGCGACAAAUGCCCUGCUUCCAGGAAAAGCCUCUAAGCAUCAGGUAACAUCAAAUCGUACCCCAAACCGACACAGGUGGUCAGGUAGAGAAUACCAAGGCGCUUGAGAGAACUCGGGUGAAGGAACUAGGCAAAAUGGUGCCGUAACUUCGGGAGAAGGCACGCUGAUAUGUAGGUGAAGCGACUUGCUCGUGGAGCUGAAAUCAGUCGAAGAUACCAGCUGGCUGCAACUGUUUAUUAAAAACACAGCACUGUGCAAACACGAAAGUGGACGUAUACGGUGUGACGCCUGCCCGGUGCCGGAAGGUUAAUUGAUGGGGUUAGCGGUAACGCGAAGCUCUUGAUCGAAGCCCCGGUAAACGGCGGCCGUAACUAUAACGGUCCUAAGGUAGCGAAAUUCCUUGUCGGGUAAGUUCCGACCUGCACGAAUGGCGUAAUGAUGGCCAGGCUGUCUCCACCCGAGACUCAGUGAAAUUGAACUCGCUGUGAAGAUGCAGUGUACCCGCGGCAAGACGGAAAGACCCCGUGAACCUUUACUAUAGCUUGACACUGAACAUUGAGCCUUGAUGUGUAGGAUAGGUGGGAGGCUUUGAAGUGUGGACGCCAGUCUGCAUGGAGCCGACCUUGAAAUACCACCCUUUAAUGUUUGAUGUUCUAACGUUGGCCCGUAAUCCGGGUUGCGGACAGUGUCUGGUGGGUAGUUUGACUGGGGCGGUCUCCUCCUAAAGAGUAACGGAGGAGCACGAAGGUUGGCUAAUCCUGGUCGGACAUCAGGAGGUUAGUGCAAUGGCAUAAGCCAGCUUGACUGCGAGCGUGACGGCGCGAGCAGGUGCGAAAGCAGGUCAUAGUGAUCCGGUGGUUCUGAAUGGAAGGGCCAUCGCUCAACGGAUAAAAGGUACUCCGGGGAUAACAGGCUGAUACCGCCCAAGAGUUCAUAUCGACGGCGGUGUUUGGCACCUCGAUGUCGGCUCAUCACAUCCUGGGGCUGAAGUAGGUCCCAAGGGUAUGGCUGUUCGCCAUUUAAAGUGGUACGCGAGCUGGGUUUAGAACGUCGUGAGACAGUUCGGUCCCUAUCUGCCGUGGGCGCUGGAGAACUGAGGGGGGCUGCUCCUAGUACGAGAGGACCGGAGUGGACGCAUCACUGGUGUUCGGGUUGUCAUGCCAAUGGCACUGCCCGGUAGCUAAAUGCGGAAGAGAUAAGUGCUGAAAGCAUCUAAGCACGAAACUUGCCCCGAGAUGAGUUCUCCCUGAGACUUAGAGUCUCCUGAAGGAACGUUGAAGACGACGACGUUGAUAGGCCGGGUGUGUAAGCGCAGCGAUGCGUUGAGCUAACCGGUACUAAUGAACCGUGAGGCUUAACCUU
RNAcentral lists this ribosomal RNA (2703 nucleotides) under Escherichia coli. RNAcentral describes it as "partial 23S ribosomal RNA". It matches the Rfam family "Bacterial large subunit ribosomal RNA". Lineage: Bacteria; Pseudomonadati; Pseudomonadota; Gammaproteobacteria; Enterobacterales; Enterobacteriaceae. The record is from RNAcentral.